This 408-nucleotide ribosomal RNA is filed under the name uncultured bacterium. RNAcentral describes it as "partial 16S ribosomal RNA". It matches the Rfam family "Bacterial small subunit ribosomal RNA", at positions 29 to 526 of the family's 1533-position model. The record is from RNAcentral.
AGUGAACGCUGGCGGCGUGCCUAAUACAUGCAAGUCGAACGAAGUGGCGCACGGGUGAGUAAUAUAUAGUUAAUCUGCCCUACACAGAGGAACAACAGCUGGAAACGACUGCUAAUACCUCAUAGUGUAGGAUGAGACUAUAUCGUAUCAGCUAGUUGGUAAGGUAAUGGCUUACCAAGGCUAUGACGCGUAACUGGUCCGAGAGGAUGAUCAGUCACAUUGGAAAUGAGCAACGGUGGAAGCUGCUACGGGAGGCGGCAGAAAGGAAUAAUGCGGAAGGGGGGACGCCCUGAGGGGGCUGCGGGGCGUGGAGGAUGAAACUUUUCGGGGCAUAGACUACUUUUAUCAGGAUAGCGGUACCUGGUGAAGAAGCACCGGCUAACUCCGUGCCAGCAGCCGCGGUAAUUC